Molecule: ribosomal RNA, 460 nt
Filed under: uncultured bacterium
Lineage: Bacteria
Description: partial 16S ribosomal RNA
Rfam family: Bacterial small subunit ribosomal RNA
Source: RNAcentral
CCUACGGGAGGCAGCAGUGAGGAAUAUUGGUCAAUGGACGAGAGUCUGAACCAGCCAAGUAGCGUGAAGGAUGACUGCCCUAUGGGUUGUAAACUUCUUUUAUCUGGGAAUAAAAUGUUCCACGUGUGGGCUUUUGUAUGUACCAUAUGAAUAAGGAUCGGCUAACUCCGUGCCCGCAGCCGCGGUAAUACGGAGGAUCCGAGCGUUAUCCGGAUUUAUUGUGUUUAAAGGGAGCGUAGGUGGAUUGUUAAGGCAGUUGUGAAAGUUUGCGGCUCAACCGUAGAAUUGCAGUUGAAACUGGCAGUCUUGAGUACAGUAGAGGUGGGCGGAAUUCGUGGUGUAGCGGUGAAAUGCUUAGAUAUCACGAAGAACUCCGAUUGCGAAGGCAGCUUACUAAACUGCCACUGACAUUGAUGCUCGAAAGUGUGGGUAUCAAACAGGAUUAGAUACCCUAGUAGUC